GGGAUUGUCGCUCAGUGGCUGAGCAUCUGUUUGGCAUGCAGAUGGUCCCAGGUUCAAGCCUCAGCAUCUCCA
Molecule: transfer RNA, 72 nt
Filed under: Sphaerodactylus townsendi
Lineage: Eukaryota; Metazoa; Chordata; Lepidosauria; Squamata; Sphaerodactylidae
Description: tRNA-Ala
Rfam family: tRNA
About the family: Transfer RNA (tRNA) molecules are approximately 80 nucleotides in length. Their secondary structure includes four short double-helical elements and three loops (D, anti-codon, and T loops).
Source: RNAcentral